Molecule: long non-coding RNA, 609 nt
Organism: Halichondria panicea
Lineage: Eukaryota; Metazoa; Porifera; Demospongiae; Suberitida; Halichondriidae
Exons: 4
Source: RefSeq, a predicted model, not a curated record
AAGCUGGCUCUCUGCAAGUCACUCAGAUUUGCAAGUACUUGGACAUUACAGCUUGAGGGUCACCACGUACAUGUACGUAGUAACGAUCUGAAUGGGGCCAGCAAUCAUCAUGGCCAUAUGCUCACCAUGACAACAAUACGGAAAACCAUCCUCUGCUUACGGGAGGUACUUGUACAAUGACUGAGAGAAUGAGUGAUCAGCAGCAAUACUCUGGUAAAUUGCAAUCAUCCUCUGUAAUGGAAGAUGUGUGCAGGAAGACUGGAGUGACUGAUCCAACAGCUCGAUCAAGAAAUCCCCAACAGUGACAUCUACUGUGUAUCUGAACACAUUGAGAUGACACCCGACAUGCUUCAAAGACUCGAACUCACUACUGCUGAAAAAAGCGAUGCUACUCGAAAGAGAAAGUACGAAGGCAAUCAAACAGGAGUGGCUCAUGCAUCGAGAGUGUAGCAAAGAGGAGACACUGUUUGUGUACAAUUAUACCUCAUUCAUUGUGUUGUCGUCAAGUGAUCAUUUGAUACAAUUAUUGACUGCAUGUGGUCUACAAUUUUGGACAUUAAUUACUACUAUUUGUCUGUUGUUCAUCAUCAAUAGAAUUUAGCCUCCUUC